GCCGUUCUUUCCUUAGACUUACUCGGAGAAGGACACAACUACAAAAAAGAUAUGAAGAACGCAAGGUUGCCAACAGUGAUCGUCUUCUGCGCAUGUUUAGCGAUAGGGUUAGGUGCUCCUAAUUCGUUCGAGAAUUUCGUUCGAAGGAAUGUACCUAGUGGAUUUACGAUGUCGGCGUUCGUCGAGACGUGUGAAGGUUGUGGCGUGCUGUACGGAAAUGACGUCACUUACAAGUGCCUGGCGGAUAGCUCGAUGAAAACUUUCAAGGGAUGCUUUAUCGCUGUAAAUGAGAAGAGAUAACAUAGAAAGAAGUGAAAUUCAAAUAAAAUGAGUUUUCUAAUUACAUUUGUACCACAUGUAUUCAAUUUUGUUUUGAUUCUUUAUAUGCUUCAUUACUGGAAGUUUGGCCUGACGAGCAAUGCGGUCCCUGAUAUAACCUCUUGGUAUAAAAAAUAAGAAAAGGCUUCAAACAAUAUCUAUGUGUGAAUGGCAAACUAGGAAACUUCUCACCCGAGUAAAGCAAGAAACACUUUAAAUUAAUAACACACUUUAUUGUAUGUACAGGGAAAAGAAAAGUUUUCAGAAUUAUCAAAUAUAUCGACUUAAGCCACAUGUAUAAUUAUCUGUUCAUUGUAUCAUUAAAAGUGUAAACAAUGGCAAAUGAGACCAAGAUGACAGCUUUGGGACCAGAUCGCUUAACUAAAACAUGAGACUUAAAACAAAUCAACCGUUUUUACAAUACGUCAAUAGAAUGUAUGUUAUUCCAGUAUGUUAUUCUUUGCUUACAUCAAGGUUUUGACAAUAAUCUCCAUUUUAAGUACAAGAGGAACUGAUUUCUACGAUUAAAAAAAGUUACCCGAUAUGUUUCAAUAAACUGAAUUCAGUAAUUGAAUUCAUGUAUUACAUAAAAUAAAUAACAACA
Mya arenaria is the source of this 922-nucleotide long non-coding RNA. RefSeq lists it as uncharacterized. NCBI's taxonomy places the organism in Eukaryota, Metazoa, Mollusca, Bivalvia, Myida, Myidae. The record is from RefSeq and is a predicted model, not a curated record. The transcript has 3 exons.